RNAcentral lists this ribosomal RNA (469 nucleotides) under uncultured bacterium. RNAcentral's name for it is "bacterial SSU rRNA". It matches the Rfam family "Bacterial small subunit ribosomal RNA", at positions 934 to 1398 of the family's 1533-position model. The record is from RNAcentral.
GGAGCAUGAGGUUUAUUUCGUUGGCUCGCGGAGACCCCUCCCCUCGUCGCCGCCUCUAUUAAUUUUCUUAGACAUAAAAAAGGGGCUUGUCCGGGACUAUGAAACAGGUUCUGCAAAAGUGUCGUCAAAGUCGUGUUGUGAAAUGUUGGGUUAAGUUCCGCAACGAGCGCAACCCUUGUUCUCUGUUGGCAUCCGUUUAUUCUGGGAUCUCAGAGGAGUCUGCCGGGUAUAAGCUGGAGGAGGGUGGGGACGACGUCAAGUCAUCAUGGUUCUUACGACCAGGGCUACACACGUGCUACAAUGGCAGAUACAAAGAGAAGCAAAUCUGCGAAGACAAGCAAAACUCAUAAAGUAUGUCUUAGUUCGGACUGGAGUCUGCAACUCUACUCCACGAAGUCGGAAUCGCUAGUUAUCGUGGAUCAGAACGCCCCGGUGAAUACGUUCCCGGUCCUUGCACUCACCGCCCGUC